GGCCGCUGCCGGUGUGAACCGGUUGAUGAAUGGCGAAGCGCUGGAGUCGUAGCAUCUCUAGGGCGGGGGAGGGAAGGGGCAGUGGAGGGACUCAGGGGUGGACGAAGUCUGGGGUGGGGAAGGAAUGGAAGCGGGAGAAGAUUUCGAUCGACUGUAAGGAAUCACGCCGGAAGCCCUGGUUGUCAUAGUUAAAACCGCCGAGGAGAGCGCAGAUGUCACAGGGAGAGCUUUGAAGUUGCCUCAAACUUAAAAUGCAAUCCCUUUAGGGCUGGAACCGUGCCUUAGCCCCGACCCUACUUUCUUCUGCCAUAAGUCAAACCACAGUCAUCUUUGUCAGCGGUUUACUUUGGCACCUGCGCCACUACGAUCUCCGUCAUCAAAUAAUAUUUAUGUCGCACGGCCGCUGUACCCGGUGACUCAACACCUUGAAUGCCACGGCCCUAGGCUCGGACAAGGUGGAUACUUGUCGCCGGGGGCACUUUCAAGCGGGGAGAAACUUCGCAAACUUCUGCUAGGGGAGACUGGGAGAGUACCUUGUGAGGCAGAUAAAGCCCCAUGCUUCCUAUAGUCUUUUUUGGUCACGCCUCCAUACUACACACGCGGGCGACUGCAGUUGGCUCAGUUGUGGCAUUUCGAAAUCACAUGCAUCCUUUGUACUGCUGCUCACUUGAUGUGUUGUCACAGAUAAUGAAAGGUUAGUCACUGCUAGAAGGAAGCGUUUUAAAAAUUAAGAAUCUUUGGUUAUGCCAAGGACUGCUGUAAUUCUUUGCGUCAAAGCUAAAGCUUGCUUUCUUUCUUUCUUUCUUUCUUUCUUUCUUUCUUUCUUUCUUUCUUUCUUUCUUUCUUUCUUUCUUGUUUUGUUCAUUUUCAGUUCUGUUGUUCCACUGUUUUCAUAAUUUAGGCCCUUAAGAAGUAAAGCUUUAUAAUUGUUCUGUGUUACACAAGGGCAACUUUGUCACAAUCUGGAAACCCUUUCUCCUCUACUUUAUGGAGGGACUAAACAGGACUUUUACCUGCUUUGAAGAACUUGGUUUUCUACUAACACUGAGGCCUUUUGUUUGCUGUUUUCACAGAGCAGUAGAUUGAAAACGGCUUUAGGGAUCAAACUGUGUUCUUGGUCAGUGUAGUGCACCAUUUUAGGAUUUAUUAGUACUUCUAUUCAGAGACGGUGCUUGCGUAGUUAUUCAACAUUCUUAUAAACAUAUACUCUGUAAACAAAGUAAGUAAGCACUUUUGAAAAAAGGAAUUGGACCAGGCUCUUACCGAAGCAAAAAUAAAAUCAUUUUAAAGAAAUUCCUCUCCUAGGAAACUUUGAAUCCAUCUAAAUCAAGGAAAACUACAGAGCUGAGAAAUAUAUAAUGUCCUUUUACAAAUACACUGUGACAGAAGUAAA
Molecule: long non-coding RNA, 1393 nt
Filed under: Lynx pardinus (Iberian lynx)
Lineage: Eukaryota; Metazoa; Chordata; Mammalia; Carnivora; Felidae
Source: RNAcentral